UCUGGGUACUGGCUGCCACAUGCCUGUACUCCCAGCACUCAGAAGGCUGAGGAAGGAGGAUCACUUGAGCCCAGGAGUUCUAGGCUAUGGUGCACUAUGCCCAUAGGGUAUCUACACUAAGUUCAGCAUCAAUCUGGUGACCUCCUGGAAGCAGGGCAGGUUGCCUGAGGAGGAGUGAACAGGCCCCCCUAGGAAACGGAGCAGGGUCAAAAUUCUGUUGGUGGUCAGUAGUGGGAUCCUGCCUGUAAAUAGCCCCUACAUUCCAGCCUGGGCAACAUUAUGAGAUCCUGUGUCUC
Molecule: non-coding RNA, 296 nt
Organism: Otolemur garnettii (small-eared galago)
Lineage: Eukaryota; Metazoa; Chordata; Mammalia; Primates; Galagidae
Source: Rfam